Molecule: ribosomal RNA, 468 nt
Filed under: uncultured bacterium
Lineage: Bacteria
Description: partial 16S ribosomal RNA
Rfam family: Bacterial small subunit ribosomal RNA
Source: RNAcentral
GACGAACGCUGGCGGCGUGCUUAACACAUGCAAGUCGAACGGAAAGGCCCUGCUUUUGUGGGGUGCUCGAGUGGCGAACGGGUGAGUAACACGUGAGUAACCUGCCCUUGACUUUGGUAUAACUUCAGGAAACUGGGGCUAAUACCGGAUAGGAGCUCCUGCUGCAUGGUGGGGGUUGGAACGUUUCGGCGGUUGGGGAUGGACUCGCGGCUUAUCAGCUUGUUGGUGGGGUAGUGGCUUACCAAGGCUUUGACGGGUAGCCGGCAUGAGAGGGUGACCGGCCACAAUGGGACUAAGAUACGGCGCAGACGCCUACGGGAGGCAGCAGUGGGGAAUAUUGCACAAUGGGCGGAAGCCUGAUGAAGCAACGCCGCGUGCGGGAUGACGGCCUUCGGGUUGUAAACCGCUGUAGCCUGUGACGAAGCGUGAGUGACGGUAAUGGGUAAAGAAGCACCGGCUAACUACGUG